UUCGUGGUAUACUUAGAGCAAGUUAACAUAUUUGGAAGUUUUAAGUAUCAUUAAAAUUGCUAUCUACAAUUUUCUUAGAUGUUAAUUCAGUUGGUUACUUUGGUUUGAUUUCUAGGAGGAAUAUUAGUAUAUGCAAAAUGGUACUGUAAAAUGGUUUAAUGCGGAUAAGGGUUUUGGAUUUAUUACUGGUUCAGACGAUAAAGAUGUAUUUGUUCACUUUUCGUCAAUUCAAACUGAUGGGUUUAAGAGCCUUGAUGAAGGACAAAAAGUAAAUUAUGAAGUGGAACAAGGGGAUCGUGGCCCACAAGCUACUAACGUUGUUCCACAAUAAAGUAUCUUGAUACUGAUGAAACUGCUUUGCAACAAGGCAGUUUUUU
RNAcentral lists this unclassified non-coding RNA (377 nucleotides) under Lactiplantibacillus plantarum. RNAcentral's name for it is "Lactobacillus plantarum cspA". The record is from RNAcentral. Lineage: Bacteria; Bacillati; Bacillota; Bacilli; Lactobacillales; Lactobacillaceae.